AACCAUUCUCACCUGCGGCUAGACCUGCGGAGGGAUCAUUAUUGAAUAAACUGCCUUGAUGGGUUGUCGCUGGCCUCUUGAGGCAUGUGCACGCCUGUCUUGACUCUAUUCAUCCACCUGUGCACCUACUGUAGUUCUAUACUCCCUGAAGGUCAAGAAAGCAGGUCUGUUGUUCAGUUGAGACAUACUGGAUUUGAGGAUUGCCCCUAAAGCUUUCCCUCUGUUGGCCUUGUGGAAUUG
RNAcentral lists this unclassified non-coding RNA (240 nucleotides) under soil metagenome. Its description in RNAcentral is "partial contains 5.8S ribosomal RNA, internal transcribed spacer 2, and large subunit ribosomal RNA". The record is from RNAcentral.